Nicotiana tabacum (common tobacco) is the source of this 2898-nucleotide RNA transcript. RefSeq lists it as uncharacterized. The record is from RefSeq and is a predicted model, not a curated record. Lineage: Eukaryota; Viridiplantae; Streptophyta; Magnoliopsida; Solanales; Solanaceae.
GCAACGACCAAUUGGAGCCCCAUUAUUGGCCCAUUCUACCUUGCCGAGAAUCCCUCUCAACACAAUAACAGCAACACCCCCUCUACCUCGACCAAUCCGAUCCUUCCACGUGUCAGCAACCCUCCCCCCUACAUUCUCAGCUGCCCUUUUGCGACGUAUCAGAAAAUUGAGCGUUGAAAUUGAGAGAAAUUAAAAACAGGAGAAGGGUCACCAUUGUUGAUAAGGAGGAGGAGGAGAUUUAACACUCCUCCUCAUCAACCUGAAUCACAACCUAUUUAAUUCCUCAAUUAUUAUACGUGAAUUAUUUAGGAUUUAGCUCAAUUAUUAUACGUGAAUGUUAUAUAUUAUUUGUCGCAUUUGAAAAAUCUAUAUAUAGAUCGAGAAGAGGGUCAUCCUGUUGUCUUCCUCUGUUGCUCGAGCGAGACCGAGGUCGAAAAGGCAUCGGAUUUGACUUUGAUAUGGCUGAACAGGGACUUGACUCAUUUCAAAGGGUACGGCAAUCAAAAGGAAACCAGGAACUGAAUGAUGAGUUGAAAAUCAAAGCAAAUGAACUCGAGAAGCUAUUCGCCGAGCAUAAACUACGUACUCCUCCUGGAAAUCAAUCUAAUUUUAUCAGCAGAAUUGGUAGGCAUAGUUACAUGCAAAGUUGGCCAUCAGCUACUUCAUCCUACAGUAAUCCUGUAUUAGAUAAUGCUUUUGUCGAUCAAGUGUUUGAUAAUUGUUCGUUUAGGGAACCUGAUAGGAACUCUUCUGAUGAGGUAAAUAGUUCUACUGGCGGUUCUCCAGGGAAAUUCUAUGAUAUGUAUAUGCAGAAAAGGGAUGCAAAACUUAAGGAAGAAUGGAAUUCUAAAGGAGCAGAGAAAGAAGCCAAGUUGAAAGCUAUGGAGGAUAGCCUUGAGAGGAGUAAAGCUGAAAUGAAGACUAUGGAGAGGCUCAGAUCAUUUAACUCCACCUCUAUUUUUAGCAGAAACCAGCAACAAUCAGAAUUUGGGCAAAGUGAUGAUAGAGAACAUAAGCCUGGAGAAGAAGUUUCUAAACAAAAUGCUCAGAGGAAGAAACAACAUUUACCUAUCAAAACUUCAUCUACACCUCGCACCAUAGUAGCAUCUAUUCCAAGGUCUCCAGUGAAGGCUUCUAGUAGUCCUUCUAGUCGCCGAAAAUUUCAACCUGAAAGUCCAAUUGCACGUUCUGUUCCAAACUUGUCUUACCUGAGAAAGGAAAACUCAGAGCCUUCUUCUCUGGCUGGUAAAAUGACUACUCGUUCACAAUCCAGGAACUAUUCCCGUAGCAAAUUACUGCACUCACAGUCCUUGAGAAAAAGCUCUGCUUUGAAUUCUGAGGGUGUUAGCUUGGCACCUCUCAAAUUUGAUAAGGACAAGAUGGAACAUAGUCGUCCUAAGGGUGUAAUUUCAGCACCUCCAAAAUCUGGCAAUGAAAAGAAGGAGCAGAGUCUUACAGAUAAAAUUCCCAGCAUUUCAGAUUCAAAGGCUUCCCCAAAGAAGGAAAAAGAUGCUGACUUCAGUUUAAGAGGUGGUUUGAUUGAGACAAGGGGUUCUAAUAUUGUAUCUAAUUUUGCGCACAAUGAUGAUGAUGAGGCUGAGGCUGAGGCUGAGGCUGAUGAUGAUUAUAUGGAAUUGGAUUCCGAGAACUCAGUGAAUAUAGAUGAGGACGACUUUGAGAACAUGAUAUCUGCAGUUGAGGAAAUUUUUGAUAAUAAGACACAAAGACUGAGCCAUGAGACAGAGAAGCUGGUAAAUUCUGUUUCAGGAUUUGGUGAUAUCCUGAGAUCACCUUCUUCUGUGCCUUCUAGCUUCCUCUCCGGUAGAUUUGCAUACGAGUCACCAAGAGAAAGUAGUCCUAUCUCACAGACUGAUCAUCACCCUUUUUCUUAUCCUCAUGACAUGUCUGAUGUUGAUGCUUCAGGCUCUCCCGUGGGAAACCCUGCAUCCUAUAAUUCACAUUUUAUGAGUCCAACGGAGCAUGACUCAGCUGCUAGAAUGAGGAAGAAAUGGGGAAUGGCAGCUCAGAAACCAAUCCAUGUUUCUUCUCAAAGUCAAUUGCGCAAGGAUAAGGCUAGAGGAUUUAAACGGUUAUUAAAAUUUGGAAAGAAAAACCAUGGAGCAGAUAGUUUGGUUAAAGAUUGGAUUUCAGCAACUACUUAUAAGGGAGAUGAUGGCACGAGAAAUGGACUUGAUCCUCCAAAUCGAUCUGAUGUUUGCCUAUAUGAGGAUGAGUUUUUCAACGAACAAGGUCUGAAGCUGUUGAUUUCGAGCUACUGAUUUAAUAAUCUUUCUCUCUAGCAGUUCAAACCUUGCACACUUCUAUUCCGGCAGCUCCAGCUAACUUCAAAUUGAGGGAAGAUCAUUUAUCAGGAAGCUCAAUAAAGGCACCAAGACCGUUCUUUUCCUUGUCGUCAUUCAGAAGCAAGGGAAAGGACUCAAAGCCGAGAUAAGUCUCUCAAAUGUAUAAAAGUUCCAGUGAUAAAACACAUGGAAUUGCCUCGAUGGUGUGCAGCUUCAAACCAUAUCUUAUUCAGCCAGAGCUUGAGGUAUGCGCGUGCUACAAUCAUAUUUAUACAAUUCAUUUUUGUACAUAGUAUAUCAUUGGACUUUUGUUAGCCUUGCUACAAUCAUAUUUACAAUGUUGUAUAUUGCCUUGAGAGGACAGUUCCCUGUGGCUGAAUGUUAAUGUUAUUUUGGUGGUCAGAGCAUUCUUCGACUUUUAUACUUAUCUGUAGUCAUACAAGCUUGAUUCUUCUAAAUAGCAAAAGUUGGGUUUAUGUUUAGAAUUGAAUAUUAGCAGUUUGGAAGGAGAAGCUUGAUUCAUGAGUAAUUGUAGAUCUUAUAUUUCAUAUAAAUGAAAAGAAUGGUGUGGCUAAAGAGUACAUUGAAUGAAAAA